Gossypium raimondii (Peruvian cotton) is the source of this 107-nucleotide small nucleolar RNA. It matches the Rfam family "Plant small nucleolar RNA R71". From Rfam's summary of the family: R71 is a member of the C/D box family of snoRNAs containing the C (UGAUGA) and D (CUGA) box motifs. Multiple nearly identical copies of this snoRNA have been identified in Arabidopsis, and it is thought to function as a 2'-O-ribose methylation guide for 18S ribosomal RNA. Lineage: Eukaryota; Viridiplantae; Streptophyta; Magnoliopsida; Malvales; Malvaceae. The record is from Rfam.
AACCCAUGAUGAGGACACUUGCGAAGUAACUCCUUGAAUCACUCCCAAGCCUUAUACAAAGACUCGUCAUCCAAUUGUUGGAAAGUUAUGAUCUCGUUCAUUAACUU